Molecule: non-coding RNA, 73 nt
Organism: Thelephora terrestris
Lineage: Eukaryota; Fungi; Basidiomycota; Agaricomycetes; Thelephorales; Thelephoraceae
Source: the annotation of a GenBank genome assembly
GACUCCAUAGCUCAGUGGUUAGAGCAUACGAUUGCAGAUCGUGUUGUCCCGUGUUCGAACCACGGUGGGGUCU